This 1328-nucleotide ribosomal RNA is filed under the name Papilio helenus. RNAcentral describes it as "16S ribosomal RNA". Lineage: Eukaryota; Metazoa; Arthropoda; Insecta; Lepidoptera; Papilionidae. The record is from RNAcentral.
GGGGGGAAAAUUAAUAAUAAAUUUGUAAUAAAAAAAUUUUUAAAAUAUAUUUUAAUGGGGGUUAAAGUAUAUAUAUAGAAAUAAUUUUUAAAUUUAUAGUAAAAUAGUAUUAUAAAAGAAUUUAUAAAUAGGGGAAAAUAAUUUAUUAAAAAGUAAAUUUAGUUUAUUGUAUCUUGUGUAUCAGAGUUUAUUAAUAAUAAUUAUUAAUUAAUAAUUUCUCGAAUUUAAAAGAGUUAAUUAAUUAUAAAAGUUAAUGUAGUAUAAUUAUUUUUAAUAAUUAAUUGGAAAUGAAAUGUUAAUCGUUUUUAAAAAUAUCUAGUUUUUUUAGAAAAAAAUUUAAUUUUAAAUAUUAUAUUUAAAAUUUUUAUUUGUGAAAAUUUUAUUAAUUAAUAUUAAAUAUUUUAAGGGAUAAGCUUUAAAAUAAAUUUUUAUAAUAAAUUAUUUAAUUAAAUUAAAAUUAUAAAAUUUAAAUUGUUAUAUAAAUUAUAAUUUUUUAUAAAUAAUUUAAUUUAAAUUAAAAUUUAAGUAAGAAAAAUUUAAAUUUUUAUAAAAAAAUAUAUUUUAAUAAAAUAAAAUUAGAUAUAAUGAUAAAAUUAGUAUAUAAUUUUUUUUUUAGGAAAAUAAUUAUAAAAAGUUAAUUAAAGGAAUUCGGCAAAUUUUAUAUUCACUUGUUUAUCAAAAACAUGUCUUUUUGAAGAUAAUUUAAAGUCUAAUCUGCCCACUGAUAAAAUUAUUAAAGGGCUGCAGUAUUUUGACUGUACAAAGGUAGCAUAAUCAAUAGUCUCUUAAUUGGUGACUUGUAUGAAAGAUUGGAUGAAAUAUAUACUGUCUCUAAUUAAUUUAUAGAAAUUAAUUUUUUAGUAAAAAAGCUAAAAUAAUUUUAAAAGACGAGAAGACCCUAUAGAGUUUAAUAAUUUAUUUAAUUAUAUUUAUUAUAUAAUUUUUAAAAUUAAAAUUAAAUGAAUUAUUUUGUUGGGGUGAUAGAAAAAUUAAAUUAACUUUUUUUAAUUGUUAACAUUAAUUUAUGAUUAAAUGAUCCAUUAAUAAUGAUUAAAAGAAAAAAUUACCUUAGGGAUAACAGCGUAAUUUUUUUUUUUAGUUCAAAUAGGAAAAAAAGUUUGCGACCUCGAUGUUGGAUUAAGAUAAAAUUUAAAUGCAAAAGUUUAAAAUUUUGAUCUGUUCGAUCAUUAAAAUCUUACAUGAUCUGAGUUCAAACCGGUGUAAGCCAGGUUGGUUUCUAUCUUUAAAUAAUUAUAAUAUCUUAGUACGAAAGGAUUAGAUAUUAAAAAUAAUUUUAAUUAGAUGAAUAUUAUUAAUAAUUAAUAAUA